UACCUGCAACUAGUAUUCACUCAAACUUGAAGCGAAACAGGCGUUGCCGGCAUGGCCAAGACAAGAGUAACUGCAGAAGAAAGUGGAAACCUGUUGUUUUUGUUGCUUCUGCCCUGGCUUAUAUGAAUCCAGAGUCAAAGUAACUCGCGAAGCGCCAUUUUGCUGCGAAUAAGUUAUUCUAUUCUCUAUGGAAAAUAAUCAAGAAACAUUUAACGAAAUUCUGGUACGCAUAAACUGCUGAAACCUCUGAAGCCGAAGAAGGUCCAUAUUAAAUAAGGAUGUUGCAGUAAUUUAAUUGAUGGAAUGUACAAGUAAAUACCAUAGGUAUAAUUAAAAAAUUGAACAUGGAAUAUGGAUAUCCAAUGAAAAUAAACAAGUUUUGUUAAAAAAUUGUUA
This is a long non-coding RNA of Bactrocera oleae (olive fruit fly), 396 nucleotides long. RefSeq lists it as uncharacterized. Lineage: Eukaryota; Metazoa; Arthropoda; Insecta; Diptera; Tephritidae. The record is from RefSeq and is a predicted model, not a curated record.